UUAUGAAUUAAAUUAUUAUUAUUAUUUAUUUAAAAUAUUAUUAUAUUUAUUAUUAAAUAAGAAAAAUUUGAUUUUAUUAUAGUUUACUAGUAAAGUGAUUGAAUUUUUUUAUAUUAUUUAAAGAAAAAUUUAUUUUUUGUACCUUGUGUAUCAGGGUUAAUUUAUUUUAUUAUUAUUAUUAAUUUUUUUCGAAUUAAGAAGAGCUAAUUAUAUAUAUGUUUAAUUUUUUCAUAAAUUUUCUUUAUAUAUAGUUUGAAAUGAAAUGUUAUUCGUUUCUUAAUAUAUCUAGUUUUUUAAGAAAAGAAUUUAAUUCUCUUAUUAUUUGUUAUUAGUUAAUUUUUAGUUAAUAAUUUUUAGUAUUAAAAAAAUAAAGGGAUAAGCUUUUAUUUUUAUAACUAAAAAUUAAUUUUAUUUGUAUUUUUUGUAUAAUUUGAAUUGUUAAUCAUUUAAAUAAUAUAAUAAUUAAUUUUAUUUAAUUAAUAAUUUAUAUCAAUUUUAGUUUUUAUAUUAAAAAUUUUUGUUUAAUUUUUUAACUUUUUUAUAAUGAUUAAAUUAGUAGAUAAAUUUGUGUAUAAUAAUUAAUUAUUUAGAUAAUAAAAAGGAACUCGGCAAAAUUAAUUUUUCGCCUGUUUAUUAAAAACAUGUCUUUUUGAUUAUAAUUUAAAGUUUAAUCUGCUCAAUGAUUUAUUAAAUUGCCGCAGUAUUUUGACUGUGCAAAGGUAGCAUAAUAAUUAGCUUUUUUAUUGAAAGCUGGAAUGAAUGAUUGGACGAAAAAAUUUCUGUCUCUUUAUUAUUUUUAUUUAAUUUAACUUUUAAGUUAAAAGGCUUAAAUUAUUUUAAAAGACGAGAAGACCCUAUAGAGUUUUAUUUUUAUUUUAUAAAUUAUUUUUAGAAUUUAAAAUAUAUUAUAAAAUAAAAAAUUUAGUUGGGGUGACUAAAAGAUUAAUUUAACUCUUUUAAUUAAAAUCAUUUAUUUAUGAAUAUAAAAUCUAUUUUUAUAAAUUUAAAAUAAAUUACCUUAGGGAUAACAGCGUUAUUUUUCUUUAGAGUUCUUAUUAAAAGGAAAGAUUGCGACCUCGAUGUUGGAUUAAAAUUUAUUUUAGGUGUAGAAGCUUAAUUAUUGAGUCUGUUCGACUUUUAAAAUUUUACAUGAUCUGAGUUUAAACCGGUGUGAGCCAGGUUGGUUUCUAUCUUUAAAUUUUUAAUAUAUUUUAGUACGAAAGGACCAAAUAUAUAAUAAAUUAUUUUUUUUUGAAUAAUAUU
RNAcentral lists this ribosomal RNA (1263 nucleotides) under Abscondita cerata. Its description in RNAcentral is "16S ribosomal RNA". The stretch from base 1024 to 1182 matches the Rfam family "Archaeal large subunit ribosomal RNA", at positions 2544 to 2703 of the family's 2987-position model. Lineage: Eukaryota; Metazoa; Arthropoda; Insecta; Coleoptera; Lampyridae. The record is from RNAcentral.